Molecule: ribosomal RNA, 253 nt
Filed under: Rubrobacter sp.
Lineage: Bacteria; Bacillati; Actinomycetota; Rubrobacteria; Rubrobacterales; Rubrobacteraceae
Also listed under: 1 other name
Description: partial 16S ribosomal RNA
Rfam family: Bacterial small subunit ribosomal RNA
Source: RNAcentral
UACGUAGGGGGCGAGCGUUGUCCGGAAUUAUUGGGCGUAAAGAGCGUGUAGGCGGUUCGGUAAGUCCGCCGUGAAAGCUUGGGGCUCAACCCCAAGUUUGCGGUGGAUACUGUCGGACUAGAGGGUGGUAGAGGCGAGUGGAAUUCCCGGUGUAGCGGUGAAAUGCGCAGAUAUCGGGAGGAACACCAGUAGCGAAGGCGGCUCGCUGGGCCAUACCUGACGCUGAGACGCGAAAGCGUGGGGAGCGAACAGG